UUUCUUUCAUGAAGAAGAUAUAAGCAAAGCAGGACCACUGGAGCAUGUGGGAGCAGCAAGUGCGGAGUUCUGCGGAGUGGGGACCAAGUCCUCUCAAAGCUGCUGUCAGACUGCAGAUCAGCUUCUGCAGAGCUGAAUCUUGACCCGGAGCAGCAAGUCAGCGCCGGGAAGCAGCGCAGUGGCUGGUGCUCGUAUGCAGCGUGUGUGUUGAGCCCCUAUUGAGCCCCGUACAGACGGUUGAACAGGACUCACAAAGCCUUGUAGUCGUCGUAUACAAACACCAUCCCACCGAACUGACUCGGCUCCACAGAAACCCGCGAAAGAUCUUGAGCUGUCACCUCGGACACGUCUAGGAAGUGUACUGACAGUGAUACUGAGGGUGGGACUGUUGCAAACACACGAGCUGAGAGCCACGAAUGGCCCCGAACUCGCCCCGAUGACCUGCUUCUCAGGCGAUGGAAACAACGCGCCUGGUUCCAGUGAGAUGGAUUCGCCGACAGACCUGGACUCCACGUGCUUGGGAACAGCAGGAAACAGUUUGAGGAUUUCUCCCUGUGAUCUUAGCAGCGUAAUAUGCUGAGCGCGCAGAGAGGAAAGAGGAAUCUUAAAAUCCGUCUGUGUUUAAUGAGCUGGUGAUGCUUUUAACGUGAGAUACAACGUUCUGUUUUAGUGAAUGCUGUCAAGGGUGCAAUUUUUAAAUACAACAGUUACAUUUUGUGAUGAUAAACAACUAAAAGCUUCAGCGUUUCUCAUCAGGAAACACAUUUUUCCUUAUUAUAUUUAUUUGCAUUUGUGCUUUGCUCUUAUUGCUUGUUUUUGCUCGUACAAAAAUUAUGCAAAGCUUGAAAACCAACGACGUAUGAGUAAUUACUCGGAUACAGCCUCUCAAAGGGACAGUCUGGAGCUAAUAAACUUUGUAAUAAUGGCCUAAAAGCAAUAUUUAAUAACUGUUUACUGCAAGAAUGCACACACCCUGCACCGCAUUAGAAAAUUCAUAAUUGCAUGCAUGGAAUGUAUUCAAGUUAAAACUACUUAAACAAAAGUAAAACUUCAAAACACACUGCAACUUUAGACCGAGUAACAGUUCACACUAUAUUUGAGAUGGAACUUGGCUCUAAACGAUUUGAGGACGUUUAAUGGAAACGUGUGUGCCAAUGACACCACUAAGAGUUCUUUGAACGCUUUCCUGGUUUGUUCAAUUAUUUUAUUGUAUAGGACCUCCUUUUCACCGUGGAAUUACAUGGGUCAUGUCCUGGUGGUCAUCCCUACCCUUAAAAUAAAGGAAUGGCUUACUCUGAGUACCAGAUCCAUGUGAUUCACGGCUGUAUUUGGUGAAUAGACGUUCAUAAUACGCCGUUAGCGUGAGACCAAAAAAACGCAACAUGUGAGUCGAAAUGUUAUAUUAGAAAUAAUUAAAUACGUUUUUUAUUUUGAUCUUUUACUUUCUAUUGUUUCCUUUUACAGUAUGUUUUUAACUGUAAUGAACACAUAUACAGAGACAACCUUUUAAGUAAAAUCUUAAAAUUGGCAACAUGAGAGAAAAAAACAGAGAGUUUGUCUUGAUGUUUAAAGGAGGAAUGUUUUUGGCCUCGUCCCUUUUCAGUGCUGCAGCCCCUCGUACUCUGAGCACCUUGACAGUUUAAGGCAAACGACUCCCACCGUCGGGUUCUGAGAUUAACUCUGACAGCCACACUGAGGGCAUUUCUCUCCUUGAGGAGGUUUUGCUGACAUCGUUGGUGGCUUUUGCAGAUUCGAUUUUUAAGGAAAAAAACGACAUAAAUAUAAUAAAAAAACUGUCAACACGUUUCACCAGUUAUUUCUCAUAUAUGUUAUUUUGGCAAGCCAAAGGCACAAACAAUGACAGGAUGAAUAUAUAGACCGAUAAUUCCCUUAUUAUACCCUAUAAGCCACAUUUGUAAUUAUGAAGUUAAUCACCUACAGUACGUGUUCGUAUACCAACAGUAGUAUGAAUACCAACAGCUGUUGCUAUUACUCACAACUAUUAAGUAGACUUGGGAAAAAAUGACCAAUCCACGCUGUUAGGCCCCAAUACUUCUUUAAUGUGUUUUAAUAACUGUACAUUUUCACUCGUCCUUGAGAGCAGUUUCCUCCGAUGACAGAAUUGAGGUUGUUUUUAGCGUCAGAAGUGUGAUGAGGAGCUGGACACAUCCAACCCACCAGACUUUGGGCAGAUAAACAUUGAAGAGACAAAUAGUAUGUCGUUGACCUUUAUAAGCUGAGGUCACAGUAUUAAAUCCUUUGAGCCAUUUCUCAUUUUAUGAGAAGCACACUGCAGCUUCUACAACUGGUAAAUUAUUUAUUUUAUUUAAAGUAUUUCCUAAUCAUGAGUGACACUUGAUCUUGUGCGCAUGAAGCACUUGUUCCAUAACGGAAACGAUGCCUUCACAAAAACGAGACCGGAAUGCUUGAAACUAGUCGCAGUUUGAGAUGGAAAACAACCUUCUUUUUUGCCAGUGUUGGUUUUUAAUGAAGGAUUCACAUAAAAUCAGCCAUAGUAAAUGGAGAGUGUUUUUUGAGUGCAGCCUCUUCAUUGUCUGGGACUGUUUACUGCAUCUGUCGGCCUUCUGUCGGCUUUGCUUUCCAAUCUCUGUGAUUUUUCUGUGCAUGAAAAAGAGGCUCAUCCGUCCUGUUCCUCUCUCCCACUAUUCAUUCCCACCAAACGACUGAACAACUGCUUUAAGAUGCUCCUCCGACUGCUAAUCAUCCCCUGCCGUUUUUAAAACACCUCCACCGAGCUAAAUACCAUUCGGUUCAGCGCAUCACGAUCGACUCGGCGAGAUAGUCGACUGACUUUCCACUCUUCCAUUUAUCUCUCCUUGCUUGGCACAACAGUCAAUACGGACUCAGCUGGCCCAAGCGGAACGGAUUUCAAACCAAACAGAAUCACUGAACCUAUUAGCCCAGAUCUUGUCACAGAAACACGCCCCCAACCAUCAAAGGGGAGGAGUCACAGCUGGUUCGUUGGUUCAAAGUACCAGUCGCAGCAGUGAGGCCCAUUCUGCUAUAAUGUGUCUACCUGUGUCGCUAUUCAUGUCGUAAUAUGGUUCUUUUGGUAUGUUUUAUGUUCAGUGAAGGUUACAGACUGUCAGAUGGCAUCAGCGGUUUCUCCUUUUUUCUCCGUUUUUACGGGCUCCUCCCUUAUGCGCCAU
Long non-coding RNA from Gasterosteus aculeatus aculeatus (three-spined stickleback), 3170 nucleotides. NCBI's taxonomy places the organism in Eukaryota, Metazoa, Chordata, Actinopteri, Perciformes, Gasterosteidae. The record is from Ensembl.